Molecule: long non-coding RNA, 687 nt
Filed under: Nicotiana tabacum (common tobacco)
Lineage: Eukaryota; Viridiplantae; Streptophyta; Magnoliopsida; Solanales; Solanaceae
Description: long non-coding RNA (NTAB_LNC013763)
Source: RNAcentral
AAUUCCAGCAUCAAGGACCCAUGAUAAAUAGUUCUUCCCGGUGAUGUCAAGUGCCACAAAUUCAAGUUUUGAUAAAUUUGACAUAGUGAAAACUAUCAUAAAAGAUGAAUAAGUUAGAGAAAUAAUUAUAAUAAUAAACAAUUAAUGAAACGAAUCGAUUAAGGUAAAAGAAAUGAAAAUAAAGCUAUAUCAUGUUAGCAAUCUACUAUUUUAUUUUAUUCAUGCCAUAAAAUAGAAACUAUAUAUUGUUUCAUUUCACUUUAUAUUAUUGAUAUAUAUAUAUAUAUAUAUAUAUAUAUAUAUGUUAAUAGAAUUUAACGUUUUAUUAGUUGCAGUGACUAGAUAAUGUAUACACUACAUACAUAUGCAUACAUUUUUUUAAUGGUAUUGUGUCAGGUGUGAAAAACAACAUGAUAAACAAAAAUAUGAAAAAGGGAACAACAACAUGAAUGAUGUAAAUUAUCAAAAAUUGCAAAGAAAAAUUUAGGUUGUAAGAAUUAAGCAUAUGAUAUAUAUACUGCCAUAAAUAAAAUGAUUAUAAUGAUACAUACCUCAAUAAAAUAUGGCUCAACUUAGCUGGAGUUAAGAAUAAAAUUAGAGCUUCGUGCUGAUAACGUUUAUAAAAUAAAAGCAAUUUAGUAAAACUUGAACAAGAAAUAGAGAUAGAGAGAAUGAAGAGAUUUUCUU